CAGGCUCCCAGAGCCAAGGCAGUGACUGGCCAGAGCCUCCCCAUUUAGGGGUACUGACCUGAGUGCCAUCUACCCGUCAAAGUGCUUGAGACCACAACAGCAACCCCUGAAGGUGACUAGUUUACUUCCAGCGAAAAGGAAUGUCUGGAUUCUCCUCUAAGUCCUUUGCACAAACUGCAGAAGCUGUGUCAUCCCAUCCUGAUGAAGCCCAUGCCUCUGACCAGAUUCUUCUAGAACUCAAGCAUAGGUGACAUGGACAGGCAGCUGCCACUUUCCGCCCAUGAAGAAACCCUGAGGAGGAGGAAAACUACCCAGGAACACUGCAUGACAACUGCAGCAGCCCCACCCUCCACCCCUGGGCCUCUUGCUUAACUGAGAAAUAUAAGCCCUAUUUGUUUAAA
Macaca mulatta (Rhesus monkey) is the source of this 401-nucleotide non-coding RNA. Lineage: Eukaryota; Metazoa; Chordata; Mammalia; Primates; Cercopithecidae. The record is from RefSeq and is a predicted model, not a curated record.